AUGCUCCGCCUCCGAACCUCCAUCCUCACCCAUCUCGCCAUCCCCUCGUCCUCCGCCUAUCCCUGCUCCUCCCUCUGCCGCCUCCUCUCCGCCACCGCACCCCCCAUUUCCCCAAACGCUAGCAGCUUCGCCGUCGAGGACUACCUCGUCGGCACCUGCGGCCUCACCCGACCCCAAGCCCUCAAGGCCUCCGCCAAGCUCUCCCACCUCAAGUCCCCCUCCAAGCCCGACGCCGUCCUCGCCGGCCUCGGCCUCUCCGGCGCCGAUGCCGCCGCCGUCGUCGUCAAGGACCCGCAGUUACUCUGCGCCAAAGUGGACAAAACCCUGGCCCCCGUCGUCGCGGGGCUCACCGUCCUCGGUCUGUCGCGUUCCGAGAUCGGCCGCCUCGUCUCGCUCGCCCCGGCCAACAGCCGGUGUAGAUCCAUAGUCUCCAAGCUGGACUACUACCUGCCCCUCUUCGGCUCCAUCGACAACUUGCUCCGGCCGCUCAGGCGCAGCAACUGCCUCCUCCGCUGUAACCUCGACAAGGUGGUCAAGCCCAAUGUCGCCUUCCUACAAGAGUGCGGGCUAGGUGCUUGUGAUAUUGUCAAGCUGUGCAUCCCUGCAGAGAGGAUUCUGACCACCAACCCAGAGCAGGUCCGGGCGAUGGUGGCAUGUGCCCAGAGACUAGGUAUGCCCCCUGGCUCUGGGAUGUUUAGAUACGCGCUGCAGGCUGUCGCUUUCCUCACCCAGGAGAAGAUCACCGCCAAAGUGGAGUACUUGAAAAAUACAUUCAGGUGGUCAGAUGCGGAGGUGGCCCUUGCUGUGUCCAGAAAUCCGGGUGUGCUAAGGAGGUCAAAGGAAUCUCUGCAGCGCAAGUCUGAUUUCCUCAUCUCCGUGGUGGGGUUGGAACCGGCCUAUAUUUCUCGUAUUUCAGUAUUCAUCACUUUCAGCCUGGAGUGCCGGCUCAGACCCCGGCACUACGUUGUAAAUUUUCUUAAGGAAAAUGGACUGCUAGAUCGCGAGCGGAGCUACUAUGCAAUUUGCAGGAUGACUGACAAGGCUUUCACGGACAAGUACAUAUGCCCUCACAAGGAAGCUGCACCGCACCUUGCCAAAUACUAUGCUGCCGCUUGUCGAGGGGAAUUGCCUGCCCAGUAG
This 1140-nucleotide ribosomal RNA is filed under the name Triticum aestivum (bread wheat). Its description in RNAcentral is "partial small subunit ribosomal RNA". The record is from RNAcentral. Lineage: Eukaryota; Viridiplantae; Streptophyta; Magnoliopsida; Poales; Poaceae.